GUCAUGUGGCCGAAUGAUAGGCGGUAGGUUGUAGCCCUAUUUACAUUGGUUUAAUUCCUUUCUUUAUCA
RNAcentral lists this transfer RNA (69 nucleotides) under Anolis lineatopus. RNAcentral's name for it is "partial tRNA-Tyr". It matches the Rfam family "tRNA". Rfam says of the family: Transfer RNA (tRNA) molecules are approximately 80 nucleotides in length. Lineage: Eukaryota; Metazoa; Chordata; Lepidosauria; Squamata; Anolidae. The record is from RNAcentral.